Cornus florida is the source of this 952-nucleotide long non-coding RNA. RefSeq lists it as uncharacterized. The transcript is spliced from 3 exons. Lineage: Eukaryota; Viridiplantae; Streptophyta; Magnoliopsida; Cornales; Cornaceae. The record is from RefSeq and is a predicted model, not a curated record.
GGAAGAGUGUUCAGUUUAAACGACAAGCCUGUGGUGCAUAAAAUUUGGCUGCCGAAUGAGGAAUGCCCCAGAUUGGCAAUGUCUAGAGCCUUUGGGGACUACUUUAUUAAGGAUUUUGGACUUAUAUCCGUCCCUGAAGUGAGGUGUUGUCACAUAUAACCAGCAGAGACCAAUUUGUUGUGUUGCGAACCGAUGAGUCUUCCCGCUAGGGGCUGGGAAGAGAUAACAACGGGAGCGUCGAUUGCAUGGCUAUCAAGUACAUCAAAUUUGAAUUGGACACAAAAAUGUCGCGAUUCCCUCUCUCCGAUCAGAAACUUCGAAGGCAAAAUUUGUGCGAAAAAGUAUGUGUUUCCAUCUGCUUGUGUGUGUUUAUGUAUGUUCGCCAACCAAUUGAUAUUUUCGGCUUUCUGUUUCGUUGCAAUGAAUUCAAGAAAACGAGAAAAGUUUAAAUUCUUUUAGCUUUUGUAUCGAAUUCCUUUUGAUUUUCUUUCUUUUGUUUGUCUUCGUGAAUUUGUUGGACUUUUGGAUUUACUGUGAACUACGGUUUCUUCGUCUACUAUUUGAAUGUUUCUUUUUUUUAGACGAUAUCUAGUGUUGUUUGCAAUAUCUUUAGAUUUUUGUGGUUGAUGUUCCCAUUAAUUUCUUGGAUUUUGAUUUUUUUUCACGUAAGGGUUUCUUUAGCAUAUUUGGAUGGUUUAUUGUCUACGAAUAUGAGUUUUCAGGAAUUUAGGGUUUAUUUGUUCAACUUGUAUAGAUUCUGCACGACUAUAAUUUUUGACAUCAUUAGAUAAUUUUUUGGAUGGUUUGGAUUUCCAUGGGAUUCAACAUGAAGAUUCAGGGAAAACACACUCAAUAUGUUUUUGUUUCUAUUUGUAUAAAUUUGGAUUUACGUAGUUCUUUCUUUAUUCAGAGAAAUAGACCCAAUAAAGUUUAAAUAAUCAAUAGGUCCCAU